RNAcentral lists this unclassified non-coding RNA (281 nucleotides) under Hevea brasiliensis (rubber tree). The record is from RNAcentral. Lineage: Eukaryota; Viridiplantae; Streptophyta; Magnoliopsida; Malpighiales; Euphorbiaceae.
AAUUGGAUUGAUGGGUAGUAUAGCCACGGCCUUGGACAAAAGUUUUGAAGCUAAGAGCCACGGCCUUUAUGAAGAUGUGCAAUCUUAGAUUCGUCAAAGUGAAAAAUUCAUAUCUAAACAUUGCGCUCCCUCCUGCAAACUUUGAAUUUUGUCCACAAGCGCUAAGAUAUCUUUACUGGGAUUAUUAUCCUCUAGAAUCUUUGCCACUAAACUUUUGGCCAAAUAAUCUUGUAGAACUUCAUAUGCCUUAUAGCAAAUUCAUACAACUGUGGAAUGGAGGA